Molecule: ribosomal RNA, 838 nt
Filed under: Janthinobacterium sp.
Lineage: Bacteria; Pseudomonadati; Pseudomonadota; Betaproteobacteria; Burkholderiales; Oxalobacteraceae
Description: bacterial SSU rRNA
Rfam family: Bacterial small subunit ribosomal RNA
Source: RNAcentral
ACAUGCAAGUCGAACGGCAGCGCGGGGCAACCUGGCGGCGAGUGGCGAACGGGUGAGUAAUAUAUCGGAACGUACCCUGGAGUGGGGGAUAACGUAGCGAAAGUUACGCUAAUACCGCAUACGAUCUAAGGAUGAAAGUGGGGGAUCGCAAGACCUCAUGCUCCUGGAGCGGCCGAUAUCUGAUUAGCUAGUUGGUGAGGUAAAGGCUCACCAAGGCGACGAUCAGUAGCUGGUCUGAGAGGACGACCAGCCACACUGGAACUGAGACACGGUCCAGACUCCUACGGGAGGCAGCAGUGGGGAAUUUUGGACAAUGGGCGCAAGCCUGAUCCAGCAAUGCCGCGUGAGUGAAGAAGGCCUUCGGGUUGUAAAGCUCUUUUGUCAGGGAAGAAACGGCCAAAGCUAAUAUCUUUUGCUAAUGACGGUACCUGAAGAAUAAGCACCGGCUAACUACGUGCCAGCAGCCGCGGUAAUACGUAGGGUGCAAGCGUUAAUCGGAAUUACUGGGCGUAAAGCGUGCGCAGGCGGUUUUGUAAGUCUGUCGUGAAAGCCCCGGGCUCAACCUGGGAAUUGCGAUGGAGACUGCAAGGCUUGAAUCUGGCAGAGGGGGGUAGAAUUCCACGUGUAGCAGUGAAAUGCGUAGAGAUGUGGAGGAACACCGAUGGCGAAGGCAGCCCCCUGGGUCAAGAUUGACGCUCAUGCACGAAAGCGUGGGGAGCAAACAGGAUUAGAUACCCUGGUAGUCCACGCCCUAAACGAUGUCUACUAGUUGUCGGGUUUUAAUUAACUUGGUAACGCAGCUAACGCGUGAAGUAGACCGCCUGGGGAGUACGGUCGC